RNAcentral lists this ribosomal RNA (533 nucleotides) under Sympherobius gayi. RNAcentral's name for it is "partial 16S ribosomal RNA". The stretch from base 398 to 533 matches the Rfam family "Bacterial large subunit ribosomal RNA", at positions 2473 to 2608 of the family's 2925-position model. Lineage: Eukaryota; Metazoa; Arthropoda; Insecta; Neuroptera; Hemerobiidae. The record is from RNAcentral.
CAAAAACAUGUCUUUUUGAUUAUAAUUUAAAGUCUAACCUGCCCACUGAUUUUAUAUUUAAAGGCCGCAGUAUUUUGACUGUGCAAAGGUAGCAUAAUCAUUUGUCUUUUAAUUGAAGGCUAGAAUGAAUGGUUGAAUGAAAUACUUACUGUCUCAUUUUAAAAAAUUAAUAAUUUAGCUUUUAAAUUAAAAGGUUUAAAUAAAAAUAAAAGACGAGAAGACCCUAUAGAUUUUUAUAUUAAUAAUUAAAAUAUAAUUAAUGAUUAAAAUUUAAUAUUUAUUAUAUUAAUAAUUAAUUGGGGUGAUUGGAAAAUCUAAUAAACUUUUUUUAUUUUAAACCAUUGAUUUAUGAAUAAUUGAUCCAAUAAUAUUGAUUAAAAGAUUAAAUUACCUUAGGGAUAACAGCGUAAUUUUUUUAAAGAGUUCAUAUCGAUAAAAAAGAUUGCGACCUCGAUGUUGAAUUAAAGAUAAUUUUUAAAUGCAGAAGUUUAAAUGUUAGGUCUGUUCGACCUUUAAAUCUUUACAUGAUCUGA